Molecule: non-coding RNA, 24 nt
Filed under: Rattus norvegicus (Norway rat)
Lineage: Eukaryota; Metazoa; Chordata; Mammalia; Rodentia; Muridae
Source: RNAcentral
UUUCAAAAGGUAGCCUAUCAAAAC